Molecule: ribosomal RNA, 719 nt
Filed under: uncultured organism
Description: bacterial SSU rRNA
Rfam family: Bacterial small subunit ribosomal RNA
Source: RNAcentral
CCCACACUGGUACUGAGACACGGACCAGACUCCUACGGGAGGCAGCAGUGAGGAAUAUUGGUCAAUGGGUGAGAGCCUGAACCAGCCAUGCCGCGUGAAGGAAGACUGCCCUAUGGGUUGUAAACUUCUUUUCUGCAGGAAGAAACCACUCUACGUGUAGGGUGUUGCCGGUACUGCAGGAAUAAGCAUCGGCUAACUCCGUGCCAGCAGCCGCGGUAAUACGGAGGAUGCAAGCGUUAUCCGGAUUUAUUGGGUUUAAAGGGUGCGUAAGGCGGGCUUGUAAGUCAGUGGUGAAAUGCUGUGGCUUAACCAUAGAAUUGCCAUUGAAACUGCAAAGUCUUGAGUACAGUUGAAGGUGGGCGGAAUGAGUAAUGUAGCGGUGAAAUGCAUAGAUAUUACUCAGAACUCCGAUUGCGUAAGCAGCUUGCUAAACUGUAACUGACGCUAGAUGCACGAAAGCGUGGGGAGCGAACAGGAUUAAGAUACCCUGGUAGUCCACGCUGUAAACGAUGAGCACUGGUUGUUGGCAAUACACCGUCAGGGAAUUGAGCGAAAGUAUUAAGUUGCUCCACCUGGGGAGUACGUCGGCAACGAUGGAAACUCUAAGGAAUUGACGGGGGCCCGCACAAGCGGAGGAACAUGUGGUUUAAUUCGAUGAUACGCGAGGAACCUUUACCUGGGCUUAAAUGUAGGAGUGCAUUGCUUGGAAACAGGCAUUU